AGUGAACACAGCUGGUGGUAUC
Molecule: microRNA, 22 nt
Filed under: Bombyx mori (domestic silkworm)
Lineage: Eukaryota; Metazoa; Arthropoda; Insecta; Lepidoptera; Bombycidae
Description: bmo-miR-317-3p
Gene: bmo-miR-317-3p
Source: miRBase by way of RNAcentral